Molecule: microRNA, 22 nt
Filed under: Caenorhabditis elegans
Lineage: Eukaryota; Metazoa; Nematoda; Chromadorea; Rhabditida; Rhabditidae
Description: cel-miR-2209b-3p
Source: miRBase by way of RNAcentral
AGAGAUGAGCGGUUGUGCUUCA